RNAcentral lists this ribosomal RNA (572 nucleotides) under uncultured bacterium. RNAcentral's name for it is "bacterial SSU rRNA". It matches the Rfam family "Bacterial small subunit ribosomal RNA", at positions 338 to 916 of the family's 1533-position model. The record is from RNAcentral.
CCUACGGGAGGCAGCAGUUUGGAAUUUUGGACAAUGGGCGAAAGCCUGAUCCAGCGACGCCGCGUGGACGAUGAAGGCCUUCGGGUUGUAAAGUCCUUUUAGCAGGGAACAAUAUUUUGAGCGUACCUGCAGAAUAAGAGGUUGCUAACUCUGUGCCAGCAGCAGCGGUAAUACAGAGACCUCAAGCGUUAUCCGGAAUCAUUGGGCGUAAAGCGUACCGAUAGGUGGUUAAGAAAGUCAGAUGUGAAAUCUCCGAGCUCAACUCGGAAUCUGUCAUUUGAAACUUCUUGACUAGAGGGGCAAAGAGGAAGCCGGAACGAACGGUGUAGUAGUAAAAUGCGUUGAUAUCGUUCGGAACACCAAUAGCGAAGGCAGGCUUCUGGGUGCCACCUGACACUGCUAGGACGAAAGCGUGGGGAGCGAAUGGGAUUAGAUACCCCAGUAGUCCACGCUGUAAACGAUGUACAUUAGGUGCUAGAGAGUAUCGACCCUCUUUGGUGCCAUAGCUAACGCGUUAAAUGUACCGCCUGGGGAGUACGGCCGCAAGGCUAAAACUCAAAUGAAAUUGACGG